GACGAACGCUGGCGGCGUGCUUAACACAUGCAAGUCGAACGGAAAGGCCCUGCUUGCAGGGUACUCGAGUGGCGAACGGGUGAGUAACACGUGGGUGAUCUGCCCUGCACUUCGGGAUAAGCCUGGGAAACUGGGUCUAAUACCGGAUAUGACCUUCCAUGUAGUGUGGGGGGUGGAAAGAUUUAUCGGUGUGGGAUGAGCCCGCGGCCUAUCAGCUUGUUGGUGGGGUAAUGGCCUACCAAGGCGUCGACGGGUAGCCGGCCUGAGAGGGUGGACGGCCACAUUGGGCCUGAGAUACGGCCCAGACUCCUACGGGAGGCAGCAGUGGGGAAUAUUGCACAAUGGGCCGACGCCUUAUGCAGCGACGCCGCGUGGGGGAUGACGGCUUUCGGGUUGUAAACCUCUUUCGACAGGGACGAAGCUUCGGUGACGGUACCUGUAUAAGAAGCACCGGCUAACUACGUG
RNAcentral lists this ribosomal RNA (465 nucleotides) under uncultured bacterium. Its description in RNAcentral is "partial 16S ribosomal RNA". It matches the Rfam family "Bacterial small subunit ribosomal RNA", at positions 28 to 507 of the family's 1533-position model. The record is from RNAcentral.